UAUGUGAUCGUCUCUCGCAUAUCAAUAAGCGGAGGAAAAGAAACUAACAAGGAUUCCCCUAGUAACGGCGAGUGAAGCGGGAAGAGCUCAAAUUUGAAAUCUUAAAGGGUUUCCCUUUACGAAUUGUAGUUUAAAGAAGUGUUUUCUGUUGAGGUUUUGGUAAAAGUUCUUUGGAAUAGGACAUCAUAGAGGGUGAGAAUCCCGUAUUUGACCUUUACUUUCAACUUUGUGAUACACUUUCAAAGAGUCGGAUUGUUUGGGAAUGCAGUCCAAAAUGGGUGGUAAAUUUCAUCUAAAGCUAAAUAUUGGCGAGAGACCGAUAGCGAACAAGUACCGUGAGGGAAAGAUGAAAAGAACUUUGAAAAGAGAGUUAAACAGUACGUGAAAUUGUCAAAAGGGAAGCGUUUGACACCAGUGUUGUUUUUCUGAAAAUCAAUUAAAGAACUGUUUAUGCUAAGUUGUUUAGACUUUAUCAGCUAAUCUGUUUAGUUUUGAGCUUUUCUUUAAUGCACUUUUCAGUUAACAAGUCAACAUCAAUUUCUUUUGCUGUAAAAAAGCUUGAGGAAGGUGGCUUGAGAUUCGUCUUAAGUGUUUAUAGCCUCUUGCCUAUGCAGUCGGAGAGAUUGAGGUCUGCAGCGUAGAUCCUUCGGGGCUAAAUGCAUUUGUGCUAAGUUAUAGCAUUUUAUAGACAACUUGUUGACUAUGAUUUGUCUUGUAGCUUACUCGCUUAUGUUAUUUUACCUACGCUUAGGAUGUUGAUAUGCAUGACUGAUAU
This 775-nucleotide ribosomal RNA is filed under the name uncultured Neocallimastigales. Its description in RNAcentral is "partial large subunit ribosomal RNA". It matches the Rfam family "Eukaryotic large subunit ribosomal RNA", at positions 24 to 640 of the family's 3401-position model. Lineage: Eukaryota; Fungi; Neocallimastigomycota; Neocallimastigomycetes; Neocallimastigales. The record is from RNAcentral.